This 319-nucleotide long non-coding RNA is filed under the name Panax ginseng (ginseng). RNAcentral describes it as "long non-coding RNA (PGIN_LNC006480)". The record is from RNAcentral. Lineage: Eukaryota; Viridiplantae; Streptophyta; Magnoliopsida; Apiales; Araliaceae.
UGUAAUCUCUCUUUAUUUUAUGCCUUACAUCAUGUAUUUAUAGGUUACAAGUCCAAUUUUUAGCUUAGGAACAAACUCAAUCCUAUUUGGAGUCAAAAAGGUGUCAAAAUUCGCCCAAAACGCGUCCAAGCCUCAACCAACCUCUUCCCCAGCGCCCCAGCGCUGGGCUUGACGCUCAGAAACUUCUCCCCAGUGCCCCGACGCUGGGCAUAGGCCUAUUUUGGGCGCCCCGGCGCUGGCCCCAAGUUCUGACAUUUUCUGCUCCGACAUCCUUUGGGAAAACGGCCAUAACCUUUGAUCCGGGAGGAGUUACGGGGCC